UACGUAGGUGGCAAGCGUUGUCCGGAUUUACUGGGCGUAAAGAGCGCGCAGGCGGUCGUUCAAGUCGAGUGUGAAAGCCCCCGGCUCAACUGGGGAGGGUCACUCGAUACUGAUCGACUCGAAGGCAGGAGAGGGAAGUGGAAUUCCCGGUGUAGUGGUGAAAUGCGUAGAUAUCAGGAGGAACACCGGCGGCGAAGGCGGCUUCCUGGACCGAUACUGACGCUGAGACGCGAAAGCGUGGGGAGCAAACAGG
Molecule: ribosomal RNA, 253 nt
Filed under: uncultured bacterium
Lineage: Bacteria
Description: partial 16S ribosomal RNA
Rfam family: Bacterial small subunit ribosomal RNA
Source: RNAcentral